ACGUUGCCAAGUCACUAAAAUCUCAAUAUUUGACACCAAUUUGACAAUUGACAGAUUAUCUUUUAAAAAUAAAUGUAAAUAGUUAUGAACAAAACAAAGUCGGGAACAAUGGAUUAAUGGAUAUGUAAAAGCCAUAAGGAGAACAGAACUAAAAUUAAAAUAUGAAAGAAUAUGCAAUAAACAUUGUAUAAAAGUGGAAAGCCAGCCACUUUAAAAAGAUAUUCCAAACUAAAACAUGGGUUACCAAAGCAGGCAAUAAAAAGAAAAGGUGAUCUAGAAUGCAAGAGAAGAGCUGAUGAAAUGUAAAGAAAAUAAUGAAGAGACUUCUCUCGACCAUGAACAAACACCAGCUAUUUUAUAUAUGUAGAAAAAGGAAAAACUGCUGGAACUUUACUUUAAAGGCUUUUGACUAGUGAAGAUUUGGAUAAACAACAGGAGUUACUUUGGGCUAUAGCUACGUGCAAAUUUAUUUUCUUGUGGCUUCCUAUGUUUAUUCUUAUUAACUAUAUCUACACUUUGAUAUGUUUUUAGUCGCAUGAAGAUUUUAUAGUUUAUUAUUUUAUGUAUAUUGUUAUAUUUGUGUUGAAUAAACAUUAUUAUUAUUAUUA
This is a long non-coding RNA of Diabrotica virgifera virgifera (western corn rootworm), 608 nucleotides long. RefSeq lists it as uncharacterized. The record is from RefSeq and is a predicted model, not a curated record. NCBI's taxonomy places the organism in Eukaryota, Metazoa, Arthropoda, Insecta, Coleoptera, Chrysomelidae. The transcript has 3 exons.